UACAGAGGGGGCAAGCGUUGUUCGGAAUUACUGGGCGUAAAGGGCGCGUAGGCGGCCUUCUAAGUCAGACGUGAAAUCCCUCGGCUCAACCGAGGAACUGCGUCUGAUACUGGAAGGCUUGAAUCCGGGAGAGGGAUGUGGAAUUCCAGGUGUAGCGGUGAAAUGCGCAGAUAUCAGGAGGAACACCGAUGGCGAAGGCAGGUCUCUGGGCAUUAACUGACGCUGAGGAGCGAAAGCAUGGGGAGCGAACAGG
RNAcentral lists this ribosomal RNA (253 nucleotides) under uncultured bacterium. Its description in RNAcentral is "partial 16S ribosomal RNA". It matches the Rfam family "Bacterial small subunit ribosomal RNA", at positions 524 to 776 of the family's 1533-position model. The record is from RNAcentral.